Molecule: ribosomal RNA, 413 nt
Filed under: uncultured bacterium
Lineage: Bacteria
Description: bacterial SSU rRNA
Rfam family: Bacterial small subunit ribosomal RNA
Source: RNAcentral
AACGAACGCUGGCGGCAUGCCUAACACAUGCAAGUCGAACGAGACCUUCGGGUCUAGUGGCGCACGGGUGCGUAACGCGUGGGAAUCUGCCCUUGGGUUCGGAAUAACAGUUAGAAAUGACUGCUAAUACCGGAUAAUGUCUUCGGACCAAAGAUUUAUCGCCCAGGGAUGAGCCCGCGUAGGAUUAGCUAGUUGGUGAGGUAAAGGCUCACCAAGGCGACGAUCCUUAGCUGGUCUGAGAGGAUGAUCAGCCACACUGGGACUGAGACACGGCCCAGACUCCCUACGGGAGGCAGCAGUGGGGAAUAUUGGACAAUGGGCGAAAGCCUGAUCCAGCAAUGCCGCGUGAGUGAUGAAGGCCUUAGGGUUGUAAAGCUCUUUUACCCGGGAUGAUAAUGACAGUACCGGGAGAA